UACGCUUUUCUGGCCCCCUCUUGGUGCUGUUUAUAUGUGUCGUUCAAAUAUGUAAUUGGAAAUUACACUGGGCAUUGGGAGUUCCAUCCGAGAAACAAAUACAAUCGAAGGCUAUCUAUCUCUCGCACUCUCUCUCUCCCCCCGGUUAUUGAUUAGCUUCCGCAUCCAACAAAGCGAGAGAGCUAGAGAGACUUUGAAAUUUGAUGGCGAUGUUUCGCGGGAAAAGUGGAAUGUUUGUUUUCGGGCUAUUUGUUUUGUUAAUUUUGGUUCACGCGAGAACAUGCGUGUCCGUCAGAUCUGACCAGGAGAUCCGGGAAAGGUUUUACGGCAAUCUGUUGAAUUCGUCGGGGCCAGAUACAGGUGAAGGGAGUAUAGCCAAGAUGUUCGAUCGCGUUCUCGAGAAAGAGUUUUCCGAGAAGGAUCAGCCCGAAGGAUCUGAUGCAAGUAGCUUCAACAGCAGCGUAGCUGAUCAAGAAGCUGUGUUGGAGACUGUAGUUAAAAUCACUCAUGAGAAGUCUAAGAGAAACGACACGCAUGAGGGAAAGAAUGGCACCAGAGCUUUCCAGUUGCAAGAUGUUUUUUCAGUGGAAAAUGAAGAUUCUGAAGACAUGGCAACUCUGAUUGACAAAAAGGACAAUGUGUUUGUGAUGUCAAACAAGAAAUCUAAGUAUCCAGUGCUUCAAGUAGAUUUCAGAUUAAUAUCGGACUUGGUGGUUGUCAUUGUUUCUGCAGCCAUUGGUGGAAUUAUUUUUUCAUGUUUGGGACAGCCGGUAAUAGUUGGCUAUCUUCUUGCGGGUUCCAUUAUUGGACCAGGGGGCCUGAAAUUCAUAAGUGAAAUGGUUCAGGUUGAAACUUUUGCACAGUUUGGUGUUGUUUUUCUUCUUUUUGCUUUGGGACUAGAGUUUUCUUUGACAAAGUUAAAAGUUGUGGGACCUGUUGCUGUUCUAGGAGGGCUACUUCAAAUUGUAACAUUUAUGUGUUUGUGUGGCAUAAUGUCUGUGUUAUGUGGAGCAAAGUUGCCUGAGGGUGUAUUUGUUGGUUCCUUCUUGUCAAUGUCAUCAACAGCAGUGGUGGUAAAAUUUUUAGUGGAACGGAAUAGUAGCAAUUCUAUACAUGGUCAAGUCACAAUAGGGACACUUAUUUUCCAGGAUUGUGCUGUUGGUUUAUUGUUUGCUUUGCUCCCUGUCCUGGGUGGUAAUAGCGGUCUAUUGCAAGGAAUGAUUUCAAUGGGCAAGUUGAUGCUGGUGUUGUCCAUAUAUCUUACUGUUGCAUCUAUAUUGGCUUGGUCAUUUGUUCCUCGGUUUUUAAAGCUAAUGAUACAGUUAUCAUCUCAAACGAAUGAACUUUAUCAGCUUGCCUCUGUGGCCUUCUGCUUAUUAUCUGCUUGGUGCAGUGAUAAGCUGGGCCUCAGUCUUGAGCUGGGUUCCUUUGUGGCUGGGGUUAUGAUAUCUACCACCGACUUUGCGCAGCAUACUUUAGACCAGGUAGAACCGAUCCGUAACCUCUUUGCAGCACUCUUCCUUUCGGGGAUUGGGAUGCUCAUACACGUUCAUUUUCUCUGGAACCAUGUGGAUAUAUUGCUUGCAUCUGUCAUCCUGGUUAUAGUAGUUAAAACAGCGGUGGCUGCUGUGGUUAUUAAGGCCUUUGGAUAUAGCCUUAGAACAUCAUUCCAUGUGGGAGUAUUACUUGCACAAAUUGGAGAAUUUGCUUUUGUUCUCCUCAGCCGUGCCUCCAAUCUUCAUCUUGUUGAGGGAAAGAUGUAUCUUCUUCUUCUUGGCACAACAGCUCUUAGUCUGGUAACAACUCCUCUUUUGUUCAAGUUGAUACCUAACGUGAUGAAUUUGGGUGUACUUCUGCGUUGGUUCCCAGCAGAAAGCAGUAGCGUACAGAAUGAGUAUGGAUUCUCUUCAAAACAAUAUUGACCAUGAAGAUGAAAACUUGUUUAGACAUUCUAUUUAUCUGUGUGGCCUGUCAUCCCUUUGCAUAUACUGAAGGAGAGAGCUUCCAUGAUUGAAGUGCACAACAGAUUAUGGUGACCUUCCAUUUCUCUCAGUCUGUUUAUUGUUGAAGGAGCACUGUUAAGUUCACGAAGAAUUGCAUCAGAAUUUUUGUUCCGCUUGCGGCUCCACCGUCUAGGUUUCAGAUUACAUAACAAUCAAUUUCAUCAAUACUCAGCUCCUAGUAUGUACAUAAAUAUAAAUUAUCAUUAGUUCAUAUUCUUUGAAUAUUGUGUAUAUAACUUGUGUUUUGGCCCAUUUUCUGCCCAUACUAAUCUGUUUUGUAUUUUUGUAACCUCUUGAUACUGGGAUGCUGUUACAUGAAAUUUUGACCAUGUGAUUAAGUCAAGUUAGUUGUUCCAUGGAA
This is an RNA transcript of Tripterygium wilfordii, 2364 nucleotides long. It is a transcript of the gene named K(+) efflux antiporter 5, with no coding region annotated. The record is from RefSeq and is a predicted model, not a curated record. The transcript is spliced from 21 exons. NCBI's taxonomy places the organism in Eukaryota, Viridiplantae, Streptophyta, Magnoliopsida, Celastrales, Celastraceae.